RNAcentral lists this ribosomal RNA (1331 nucleotides) under metagenome. RNAcentral describes it as "bacterial SSU rRNA". It matches the Rfam family "Bacterial small subunit ribosomal RNA", at positions 173 to 1498 of the family's 1533-position model. The record is from RNAcentral.
AUAUUCUGUGAGCAGGAAAGCAGGGGACCGCAAGGCCUUCCGCUCUUUGAGCGGCCGAUGUCAGAUUAGCUAGUUGGUGAGGUAAAGGCUUACCAAGGCGACGAUCUGUAGCGGGUCUGAGAGGAUGAUCCGCCACACUGGAACUGAGACACGGUCCAGACUCCUACGGGAGGCAGCAGUGGGGAAUUUUGGACAAUGGGGGCAACCCUGAUCCAGCCAUGCCGCGUGAGUGAAGAAGGCCUUCGGGUUGUAAAGCUCUUUCGGCCGGGAAGAAAUCGCAUGGGCCAAUACCCUGUGUGGAUGACGGUACCGGAAUAAGAAGCACCGGCUAACUACGUGCCAGCAGCCGCGGUAAUACGUAGGGUGCGAGCGUUAAUCGGAAUUACUGGGCGUAAAGCGUGCGCAGGCGGUUUUGUAAGACAGGCGUGAAAUCCCCGGGCUUAACCUGGGAACUGCGUUAGUGACUGCAAGGCUAGAGUACGGCAGAGGGGGGUGGAAUUCCACGUGUAGCAGUGAAAUGCGUAGAGAUGUGGAGGAACACCAAUGGCGAAGGCAGCCCCCUGGGUCGAUACUGACGCUCAUGCACGAAAGCGUGGGUAGCAAACAGGAUUAGAUACCCUGGUAGUCCACGCCCUAAACUAUGUCAACUAGGUGUUGGGUGGGUAAAACCAUUUAGUACCGUAGCUAACGCGUGAAGUUGACCGCCUGGGGUGUACGGCCGCAAGGUUAAAACUCAAAGGAAUUGACGGGGACCCGCACAAGCGGUGGAUGAUGUGGAUUAAUUCGAUGCAACGCGAAAAACCUUACCUACCCUUGACAUGCCAGGAACUUGCCAGAGAUGGCUUGGUGCCCGAAAGGGAGCCUGGACACAGGUGCUGCAUGGCUGUCGUCAGCUCGUGUCGUGAGAUGUUGGGUUAAGUCCCGCAACGAGCGCAACCCUUGUCGUUAAUUGCCAUCAUUUAGUUGGGCACUUUAACGAGACUGCCGGUGACAAACCGGAGGAAAGUGGGGAUGACGUCAAGUCCUCAUGGCCCUUAUGGGUAGGGCUUCACACGUCAUACACUGGUCGGUACAAAGGGUUGCCAAGCCGCGAGGCGGAGCCAAUCCCAGAAAGCCGAUCGUAGUCCGGAUUGCAGGCUGCAACUCGCCUGCAUGAAGUCGGAAUCGCUAGUAAUCGUGGAUCAGCAUGUCACGGUGAAUACGUUCCCGGGUCUUGUACACACCGCCCGUCACACCAUGGGAGCGGGUUCCGCCAGAAGUAGGUAGCCUAACCGCAAGGGGGGCGCUUACCACGGCGGGGUUCGUGACUGGGGUGAAGUCGUAACAAGGUA